GGAGAAAUAAAUAUGGCGCGGUGGAGUUCGAAAUCGAGAGUAGGCCUAUUGUUGAUGAGGCAAGCAGUCAGAGCAGUCCAGAACUAGAGGGUAAAGAGCUCCCUGAGCAUACUAUCUUGUGAUGUCGGCCUCAUUAGAAAAAAAGCCCUGUAUAAAGGUUUAGUAGAGUUGGCAGUGAUACCUAGCACUUCUAGGUCCAGUAGUACAAGGCUUGGAAGAGGUGUGACAUCAGGAGGAUUGACUCAAGAACAUGAAAGGAGAAUUCAGUAACUCACAGAAGAGAGCAUACAUGAUGGUGUUUCCAAGAAAAUGAUGGUGUUGCCAAGGAAAGUGCUGAAUACAUUGUGACAAGUGUGAUGGAAAUCCUGGCCUUGCACUGGAUAUAAAGAUGCUUUUGCUAGAGAAUUUACCAAGCAAUGACUCAGCAUCAGUGGAGAUGGGACUGGCC
This is a long non-coding RNA of Lingula anatina, 448 nucleotides long. The record is from RefSeq and is a predicted model, not a curated record. NCBI's taxonomy places the organism in Eukaryota, Metazoa, Brachiopoda, Lingulata, Lingulida, Lingulidae.